Long non-coding RNA from Cucurbita maxima (winter squash), 781 nucleotides. RefSeq lists it as uncharacterized. NCBI's taxonomy places the organism in Eukaryota, Viridiplantae, Streptophyta, Magnoliopsida, Cucurbitales, Cucurbitaceae. The transcript is spliced from 3 exons. The record is from RefSeq and is a predicted model, not a curated record.
GAACUAGAAAGUUUUUUUUAUAGUUUUUGGAACUCUACUUAUAAAAAUAAUGUAUCUAAGAGUGAUGAUUCCGACUAUGAUAGUUGGAAUAAUCACAUUAAUAGUUGCAUUGACAGUUAUCUUCGGUCUCAAAUCUGUAUUGAUAGUUACUUUUUAAGUGGUAGUCACAAUUACAGUGACAGUUACGUUUAUAGUUACAUUUGUGGUGAAGGUGGAAAUAGUAGUGAAAGUGAGAGUUCCAGUAUAAGAACUAGCACGGAUGGAAGUGAUUUAACUAGAACGGAGAGUUCUACGGAAAGUUCUACGGAAAGUUCUAUCGAAAGUUCUACGGAAAGUUUCGAGACCCCGAAAAAUGAACAACUUUUCUUCGGAACACAUAAAAGAUUCGUCAUUGCAAAAAGGGGGCGGCCCUGCUAUCGCAAUCGUACAACAAGAAUGAACUGGAUGAGAUGCAGAGGAGCUGGCUUCUCGGUUCGGUGGAGGGGAAAAAAAACAGAUAUGUUGACCUAGGUUGCCUAAUCAUAUCGAAGAAGGCUUUGAAAUAAGAAUACAGGUGGAAACAAGAUGUGCCCAUCCUAUUUUUUUUCUGACCGACGCAUGUAGGUUAGAGAGAUGAAGAUGAGCAGAGCAACAGUGACUUGAAGGAAGAGGUUUUCGAGAUUUCGUACCAGGAGCCUCCAAAGAUUUAGCUGAAAAGUUUGUAAGAGUAUACUCCACGAGCAAAGAUGAUAGAAGACUUACAAUACAAAGCUUUGAUAUGAUAACGACUCUCAUUCAUUGA